GUUGAAAAUAGCGCACUGCUGAGUCACACACACACUCGGCGCGCUCCGAGUUGUGUGGAGUUAAGUAAGUUACUCAAGUGAGAGAGCAUCGCAAGUAAUCAAAAAAGUGCGCGGGCGCAUGGAUGGCGAUGUAAGUUCCGUGGGUUUUGAACAUGUCAUUACGAGUAACAGUAGCCGGGACAGCCAGCUCGACGUCGAAGAAGCUGCAGCGUCGGCAGAUUUGAAAUUAAUUGAGAGGCCAAGUCGACUUAUUAAAGCGCUAACGCUUUAAUGCCACGCUUUUAAUAAAAUUAUAUUCGUGUGGCAGUUUCAGGUUCUCACGUCCACCAUUAAAGCGCGAUUGCGUUCUUGUGCUUCUGUUCUCACAUACUUAAGUCGCUUUGCUCAUAACGAUUAUGAUUGCUUCGCUUAGCCGCAGAAGAAGAAGAUGGAACUGGCCGGCAGCGUAUUAGAACUGCGUUGCUGGUUUUAUUUUCGUUUUUGAUUAGCGUUUCGUUCGCCGUGCGAAGCUCUUAUAUUAAUAUUCGCUGAUUAUAAGGCGCACGAAUAUGAAUAUCGAACGGUUCUAAUUAAUGACGUCGUCUAACGAGCAAAGCAGUGCCACGAAUACUGCACUUCCGUUAUCGACGCUUAAAAGGACUUUUCAAAUGUUUAUUUUUAUUAGUUACUAAUUAGAAAUGGCAUUAAAUUCAAAAGAAAAUUAGUUUUUACAUAUUAAAGUAGAGGUUGAGGUCAUUUGCAACAAUUUGUUCAGUAAUUAGUGGAAAAUCGUUGUUUUAGUACAAAAUCAGCAGUUUUUAGUAAAAAUUUAAAUCAUUUUUAAAGAACUAAACUUGUAACAACAAAAAAAAUUUAAAAAUUUCCGUUAAUAAAACAAAAAUAAGCAAAAA
Dalotia coriaria is the source of this 890-nucleotide long non-coding RNA. RefSeq lists it as uncharacterized. Lineage: Eukaryota; Metazoa; Arthropoda; Insecta; Coleoptera; Staphylinidae. The record is from RefSeq and is a predicted model, not a curated record. The transcript has 2 exons.